CCUACGGGCGGCAGCAGUGAGGAAUAUUGGUCAAUGGACGAGAGUCUGAACCAGCCAAGUAGCGUGAAGGAUGACUGCCCUAUGGGUUGUAAACUUCUUCUAUCAGGGAGCAAAGGGCGCCACGUGUGGCGUUUUGCGAGUACCUGUAGAAACAGCAUCGGCUAACUCCGUGUCAGCAGCCGCGGUAAUACGGAGUUGGCGGGCGUUAUCCGGUUUUAUGGGGUUGAAAGGGGGCGAAGGCGGAAUGCAAAGCCAGCGGUAAAAUCUCGGGGCUAAACCCCGUAGUGCCGGUGCAACUGGCGUGCUUGAGUGAGCGAGAAGUAUGCGGAAUGCGUGGUGUAGCGGUGAAAUGCAUAGAUAUCACGCAGAACUCCGAUUGCGAAGGCAGCAUACUGGCGCUCAACUGACGCUCAUGCACGAAAGCGUGGGUAGCGAACAGGAUUAGAUACCCUAGUAGUC
Molecule: ribosomal RNA, 459 nt
Filed under: uncultured bacterium
Lineage: Bacteria
Description: partial 16S ribosomal RNA
Rfam family: Bacterial small subunit ribosomal RNA
Source: RNAcentral